RNAcentral lists this ribosomal RNA (459 nucleotides) under uncultured bacterium. RNAcentral describes it as "partial 16S ribosomal RNA". It matches the Rfam family "Bacterial small subunit ribosomal RNA", at positions 338 to 795 of the family's 1533-position model. The record is from RNAcentral.
CCUACGGGUGGCAGCAGUGAGGAAUAUUGGUCAAUGGUCGGGAGCCUGAACCAGCCAAGUCUCGUGAGGGAUGAAGGUUCUAUGGAUCGUAAACCUCUUUUAUAAGGGAAUAAAGUGUGGGACGUGUCCUAUUUUGUAUGUACCUUAUGAAAAAGCAUCGGCUAACUCCGUGCCAGCAGCCGCGGUAAUACGGAGGAUGCGAGCGUUAUCCGGAUUUAUUGGGUUUAAUGGGUUCGUAGGCGGUCCGGAAAGUCAGCGGUAAAAGCCCGGGGCUCAACCCCGGCGAGCCGUUGAAACUGUCGGACUAGAGACGGCGAGAAGUACGCGGAAUGCGCGGUGUAGCAGUGAAAUGCAUAGAUAUCGCGCAGAACUCCGAUUGCGAAGGCAGCGUACCGGCGCCGGACUGACGCUGAGGCACGAAAGCGUGGGUAUCGAACAGGAUUAGAUACCCGGGUAGUC